CUUGGUCAUUUAGAGGAAGUAAAAGUCGUAACAAGGUUUCCGUAGGUGAACCUGCGGAAGGAUCAUUACCUAGAGUUGCGGGCUUUGCCUGCCAUCUCUUACCCAUGUCUUUUGAGUACCUUACGUUUCCUCGGCGGGUCCGCCCGCCGGUUGGACAACACUUAAACCCUUUGUAGUUGCAAUCAGCGUCUGAAAAAACUUAAUAGUUACAACUUUCAACAACGGAUCUCUUGGUUCUGGCAUCGAUGAAGAACGCAGCGAAAUGCGAUAAGUAGUGUGAAUUGCAGAAUUCAGUGAAUCAUCGAAUCUUUGAACGCACAUUGCGCCCCUUGGUAUUCCAUGGGCAUGCCUGUUCGAGCGUCAUUUGUACCUUCAAGCUCUGCUUGGUGUUGGGUGUUUGUCUCGCCUCUGCGCGCAGACUCGCCUCAAAACGAUUGGCAGCCGGCGUAUUGAUUUCGGAGCGCAGUACAUCUCGCGCUUUGCACUCACCACGACGACGUCCAAAAAGUACAUUUUUUACACUCUUGACCUCGGAUCAGGUAGGGAUACCCGCUGAACUUAAGCAUAUCAAUAAGCGGAGGA
This 582-nucleotide ribosomal RNA is filed under the name uncultured fungus. RNAcentral describes it as "eukaryotic LSU rRNA". The stretch from base 211 to 363 matches the Rfam family "5.8S ribosomal RNA". Lineage: Eukaryota; Fungi. The record is from RNAcentral.